UACGAAGGGUGCAAGCGUUACUCGGAAUUACUGGGCGUAAAGCGUGCGUAGGUGGUUUGUUAAGUCUGUUGUGAAAGCCCCGGGCUCAACCUGGGAAUGGCAAUGGAUACUGGCAGGCUAGAGUGCGGUAGAGGGUAGUGGAAUUCCCGGUGUAGCGGUGAAAUGCGUAGAGAUCGGGAGGAACACCGGUGGCGAAGGCGGGUCUCUGGGCCGAUACUGACGCUGAGGAGCGAAAGCGUGGGGAGCGAACAGG
RNAcentral lists this ribosomal RNA (253 nucleotides) under uncultured bacterium. Its description in RNAcentral is "partial 16S ribosomal RNA". It matches the Rfam family "Bacterial small subunit ribosomal RNA", at positions 524 to 776 of the family's 1533-position model. The record is from RNAcentral.